GACCUGGCCGGGCGGUCUGCCUCACGGUAUGUACUGUCUGGCUGGGCCUUACCUCUUGGUGAGCUGGCAUGCCCUUCACUGGGUGUGUCAGUGAACCAGGACUUUUACUUUGAGAAAAUUAGAGUGUUUAAAGCAGGCUUACGCUUGAAUACAUUAGCAUGGAAUAAUAGAAUAGGACUU
RNAcentral lists this ribosomal RNA (180 nucleotides) under uncultured Glomeromycotina. RNAcentral's name for it is "partial small subunit ribosomal RNA". The stretch from base 88 to 180 matches the Rfam family "Eukaryotic small subunit ribosomal RNA", at positions 735 to 830 of the family's 1831-position model. Lineage: Eukaryota; Fungi; Glomeromycota. The record is from RNAcentral.